Non-coding RNA from Phrynosoma platyrhinos (Desert horned lizard), 71 nucleotides. Lineage: Eukaryota; Metazoa; Chordata; Lepidosauria; Squamata; Phrynosomatidae. The record is from the annotation of a GenBank genome assembly.
GCCAGGGUGGUGUAGUGGUUUGAUCAUGGACUAGACCUCUGGAGACCAGGGUUCAAAUCUCUGCUCAGCCA